CAUCACCAACAAAAUCAGUUGCUUCACAAUGGCCUCUACAACCAUGGCUCUUUCUUCCCCAUCAUUCGCCGGUAAGGCAGUGAAGUUCUCCCCUUCCACCCCUGAAAUCCGGGGAACUGGCCGUGUUUCCAUGAGGAAAACCACCAAGCCUGUUCCUUCUGGUAGCCCAUGGUACGGUCCUGACCGAGUUUUGUACUUGGGUCCACUUUCCGGUGAGCCACCAUCUUACUUGACCGGUGAGUUCCCUGGUGACUAUGGUUGGGACACUGCUGGACUCUCAGCUGAUCCCGAGACCUUUGCUAGGAACCGUGAGCUCGAAGUCAUUCACUGCAGAUGGGCCAUGUUGGGAGCUCUUGGGUGUGUUUUCCCUGAGCUGUUGGCUAGGAACGGUGUCAAGUUCGGUGAAGCUGUAUGGUUCAAGGCCGGGUCUCAAAUCUUCAGUGAGGGUGGACUUGACUACUUGGGUAACCCAAGCUUGAUCCAUGCUCAAAGCAUUUUGGCCAUCUGGGCUUGCCAAGUUAUCUUGAUGGGAGCCGUCGAGGGUUACCGUAUUGCCGGUGGACCACUCGGUGAAGUGACUGACCCAUUGUACCCAGGUGGUAGCUUUGACCCAUUGGGUCUUGCUGAUGACCCAGAGGCAUUCGCUGAGCUCAAGGUGAAAGAGAUCAAGAACGGUAGGUUGGCUAUGUUCUCAAUGUUCGGGUUCUUCGUUCAGGCCAUCGUGACCGGAAAGGGACCAUUGGAGAACUUGGCUGACCACCUUGCUGACCCAGUCAACAACAAUGCUUGGGCCUAUGCCACCAACUUUGUCCCCGGAAAGUGAACUUAGAGAGUGAAAAGGGAUUUGUCUUGUUCAUGUUUUUAUUUGUUGGUGUGAAUGUAAAUUUGUUGCACAAUCAAUGAAAGCAGAAUGUGAAUUUUGUGUGCUCAAAGUUUUUGACUGUUCCAAGUCCAUUUGUUUUAAAAUGAAAUGGUAAAAACAGGUGAAGCACAUGAUGCUAUAGACAAAACGAAAAAUAAAACUGUAAAUUUCGACAAAUGAAAUAUAAAUAAAUUCCCGAAUAAACUUCUCAGCCUUCUAUUUAUCAUUUUGAGAACUAGACAAUGUUGCAGAGACCACUUACAUAUAGGUAUUUAAAGUUACUCUGAUGAGACAGAAGACAAUGUGUGUGUAUAUAUAUAUACAUAAAGCUUUAUCAAUGAUAUGAAUGGUGUUACUAAAUGUAACUAUGAACUGGAUAAAGGUGCAAUGAAUACCGAACUCACCAAUGCAGGUUUAAUGUUACUGACCUUCACUUAUAACCAAUGUCGACAAAUCAGGGCUGCUUUCGAUUGUUCUUUUCUACUUGUCCACUUAAAUAUAACUUAAUUGUUACUCGCUUGGGCCCUUGCUCUCGAAAUAGACUUGGCAUAAAGUUCUUCGUAUCGUGAAGCUGAAGAAUCCCAGCUGAAAUCUAUAUUCAUGUUCUUUUGAACGAGUUGUUUCCAACUCUCUUUAUUGUUCUUGUAGAAAUUAAAUGCACGCUCCAAGGCACCGUUUAUUCCCUGUCAGGUUUUUAACGUCAUCCAAGGUUUAAGCAUAUGAUAGAGAACCAAAGCAAUUAAGUUGGAAUGUCGGCAAAUCAUGUUUCAAGAAUUCCUAGAGUUACCUGUUCAUCAGGAGUUGUAAAUGUAAAUCCGUUUCGAAUUUGAUUAGGUAUUGUCUCCUCAUUGACAUCGAAAACGCUAUAGAAGAAAGAUUAGAAAAGAAUUGAGAUUUAUGAUUUUACGGUCAAGUAACUUCAUAUUAGUGGAUUUACUUACAUGCAUAUAAUUCGAGUAAAGUAGUUUACCUGUCAUUUAGACCGCCAGUUUUUCUUGCAAUGGGUACUGAACCAUAUCUCAUUGCUAUCAUCUGGGUGAAAAAAGAAAACACACUGUUAAGCUUUGGCCUACAUUGCAACAGGAGACCAGUAGCUUCUCAGCACAACACCAGCAGCAACACUGCUUGAAGUGCAGAAAUGGAGCUGAACCGAAUGCAGCAAUAUGCUUUGAUCAUUUUGUUCCGAUGUAAUUUUGUCUAAUUCAUUUGUAAUUUGUUCACAAAGUUAGUAAGAUUAGUUCAUGAUUUGAGUUGAUGUAAUAGUUGAUAUGCCAGCUACCUUUUGUGUGUAAUUCAAGCAAAUGUUAGUCUUGUAUUAGUGGGAGCAGUUAAGUCAUUAGGUAAUUGCCCAUUACUCUGUAACUCAUAUAUUAUUCAAAUUUUGAAUGAAAAAUUAAGUGGUGAAUUUUCAGUUAUCAUUUUUGCAAGGUUUUCAUUCUGUUUUUGCUUUGAUUCUCCUAUUUUUGUUUUGCUACUUUGCCUUUUGUUUGCUGCCAAUGUUUCAACAAAUGGUAAUCAGAGCCUGUCAUCUUUGAAGGUCUUUGUUAUUGGUUGUUUUCUGUCAAAACAAAAUUGAGAAGAGAGAAAUCGAAGCUGUUGAGUUUGUUUCAGCAGAAUGAGUUUUACACCACCUCCACCACCUGUGUUUACUGGAGAGAACUACCACAUUUGGGUAGUUAAGAUGAGGACAUACCUUCAGGCACACGAUUUGUGGAAUGUGAUCGAGAAUGAUGUUGAUCCACCUCCAUUGAGGUUCAAUCCCACCAUUGCUCAGAUGAGGCAACACAGUGAAGAGUGCUCCAAGAAGCAUAAAGCAAUGGCUUGCUUGUAGAAUAGAGUAUCAGAUGUGAUCUUCACUAGGAUAAUGGCUUGUGACUCACCUAAGCAGGCAUGGGAGAAACUGAAGGAGGAGUUCAUGAGGUUAGACAAAACCAGGCAGCAACAAGUGAUUAAUCUCAAGAGAGAUUUUGAGAAUUUGAAGAUGAAAGAGUCAGAGACUAUCAAGCAGUACUUAGACAGAAUAAUGGCCACUGUCAACAACAUUAGGCUCCUUGGAGAAGACUUUAGUGAGAGCAGAGUUGUUGAAAAGGUCAUCACCACUCUCCCUGAGAAGUUUGAGUCAAAGAUUUCAUCACUUGAGGACUCGAAAGACUUGUCAGCUAUCUCAUUGUCUGAGCUGAUAAACUCUCUGUAUGCACUUGAGCAAAGGAGGGUCAAUAGGCAGGAAGAGUAUCCUGAAGGAGCUUUCUAGGCAAAGGUCAAAGUAGGCUUAGGUUCAAAUCUGAAAAGGAAGAAGCCUUGGCUCCAUAAAAGGGAAAACAAGGAGAGAUACAGGUAAGAAAGUGAGAACAGAGUUGUUGAAAAGGUUAUCACCACUCUCCCGGAGAAGUUUGAGUCAAAGAUUUCAUCACUUGAGGACUCGAAAAAAUUGUCAGCUAUCUCAUUGUCUGAGCUAAUAAAUUCUCUGUAUGCACUUGAGCAAAGGAGGGUCAAUAGGCAGGAAGAGUAUCCUGAAGGAGCUUUCUAGGCAAAGGUCAAAGUAGGCUCAGGUUCAAAUCUGAAAGGGAAGAAGCCUUGGCUCGAUAAAAGGGAAAACAAGGAGAGAUGCAGGCAAGAAAGUGUUCCCAUCAUGCAUUCACUGCAAGAAGACCACACAUUUGGAGAAGUACUGUUGGUACAGGCCAAACAUUCAGUGCAGAAGCUACAAACAGUUUGGCCGUGUUGAGAAAGUGUGCAGAAGCAAAGGGAAGGAACCAGCUUAGCAGCAAGCACGAGCUGCUAAGGAUUUUCAAGCUCAGGAGGAGCAUGUUUUCACAGCUUCUUGCUUUGCAAACUCAAGCAAAGUCAGAUGUGACUGGUUAGUGGACAGUGGCUGCUCACACCACAUGGUAGCUGAUAAGAAGCUGCUCAAAGACCUUGAUAGAAGUUUUGCUGCAAAAAUUAGAAUUGGUAAUGACAAUUUGAUUGAAGUUCAAGGAAGAGGAGAUGUUGUGAUCAACACUUGUUCAGAUAACAAAAUCAUUUCUGAUGUGUUUUUUGUGCCUGACAUAAAUCAGAAUCUGCUUAGUGUUGGUCAGUUAGUGGAAAAAGGGUAUUCUUUGAUCUUUAAAGAUGGCUCUUGUAUUGUUAAGGACUCACUUGGUCAGGAGUUAGUCACAGUAGCAAUGAUAGAUAGGUGUUUUAUGCUCGAUGUAAAUCAACUCGAGAAGAAGGCUUACAUUAGCCUUGCUGAUAACACUGGUCUUUGACAUAGGAGACUAGGCCAUUUCAAUUUUAGAUCACUUGAUCUGUUGGAUAAGCUGAAUUUGGUAGAAGACAUGUCAAAAGUUGAACCAAGAGACAUUGUUUGUGAAGUCUGCCAGCUUGGAAAGCAGGCUAGAUUGCCUUUUCCAGCUAACAGUGCAUAAAGAGCUCGAGAAAGGCUUGAAUUGGUUCAUUCUGAUGUUUGUGGGCCAAUGAAGACUUCUUCAUUGAAUGACAGUAAGUAUUUUGUUCUAUUUAUAGAUGACUUAACUAGGUUUUGUUGGGUUUAUUUCUUGAGGCAGAAAUCUGAAGUGUUUGAAGCAUUCAGCAAAUUCAAAGCCUUAAUUGAAAACCAGACUGAUUAUAAGAUCAAAACUUUGAGAACUGAUAAUGGCACUGAGUAUCUAUCUAAUAGAUUUCAGAAACUGUGUGAGCAAGCUGGGAUUCAUCAUCAACUAACAACAGUUUAUACUCCUCAACAGAAUGGAGUAUGUGAGAGGAAGAAUAGAACUGUGCUUGAUAUGGCCAGAUGUCUGUUAUUUCAGAGCAAGCUGCCAAGCAAAUUUUGGGCUGAGGUAGUCAAUACCUCAGUUUACCUACUCAAUAAGCUGCCAACUCACAAUGUCAAGGACAAGACUCCUUUUGAAGCUUGGCAUGGACUUAAGUCAAUCGUUUCACACUUGAAAGUGUUUCUGUUUGCCUUGGCCGCUCACAAACAAUGGAAAGUUCACCAGUUAGAUGUUAAGUCAGCAUUUCUGAAUGGUUUUCUUAAGGAGGAGAUUUUUAUUGAGCAACCAGAUGGGUUUAAGGUCCUAGGAGAAGAGGACAAGGUCUAUAAGUAGAAAAAGGCUCUGUAUGGCCUAAAGCAGGCACCAAGAGCCUGGUAUGACAGGGUUGACAUAUACCUGUCUAGGCUUGGGUUUGAGAAAAGUGUUAGUGAAGCUACACUUCAUGUGAAGAGGUCAGAAAAUGAGACAUUGCUGAUUGUUUCUCUCUAUGUGGAUAACUUAGGGUGAGUUUGGAUGGGCGGUGCGUUUACUUGCGGUUAGUGUAAAAACAGCGGUAGCGGUGAGAUUAGAUACUGUAGUGAUACUGUAGCGUGAGACAAAAAGUAAGCUAAACGCACCAUACCGCACCCAAUCGUCCAUCCAAACCCACCCUUACUUGUGACUGGAAGCAAAGAAGAACUGAUUAGCGAAUUUAAAGUGCAAAUGCAAGAGGUGUUUGAAAUGACAGACUUGGGAGUCAUGACAUACUUCCUUGGUAUGGAAGUGAAUCAAUCUUAUCAAGGCAUUUUCAUUAGCCAACAUGCCUUUGCUUUGAAGAUUCUCAAUAAAUUUUGCAUGCUAAAUUGCAAAACAAUCAGCACACCUGUGGCUCAAGAGGAGAAACUGAGUAGCAGUGGGAAUCAAGAGAGGGUUGAUAUUAUGUUUGGUGUUAUCUUUUGUAAAGAUUUAUGCACUGCUGUGAUGUGGUUCAUUUCAAAGCAGCUAGGAGGAUCCUCAAAUAUGUCAAAGGAACCUUAAGCCAUGGAGUUAAGUUUGAGAAGGAAAAUGAGCUUAAGCUAGCAGGAUAUUCUGAUAGUGAUUGGGCUGGCUCUGUCGAUGACAUGAAAAGCACCUCUGGUUAAUUCUUCAUACUUGGAUCAGGAGUUUUCUGCUAAAGCUCAAAAAAGCAACAAACUGUUGCUCAGUCCACAGCUGAGGCAGAAUACAUUGCAGCUGCUGCAGCUGUUAAUUAAACCAUUUGGCUUAGGAAGCUCGUGUAUGAUCUAAAUAAAGAACUGGCUGAACCAACUAAAAUCAAAGUUGAUAACCAGUCAACAAUUGCCAUAACCAAAAAUCCAGUCUUUCAUGGUAAGACUAAACAUUUCAAGAUCAAAUUUCAUUUUGUUCGAGAGGCUGAGCAAUCAAAAGAAGUUAGUCUUGUUCAUUAUAGCUCUGAUAUAUUCAAGAUGAUUACGUAUUUACAAAAUACCGUCUCAAUUCAUCCUAUUUCAUCAGAUCCGGGAUGUGAUAUAGUUCCGAAGGAUAAAUUGGAAAAUUCCAAUAAGAUUUCAUUCUUGAACAAAAAUCCAUUUUUUGAUUUAUUUCAUCUAUUCCAUGACCAGAACAGGAGGGGAUACACGUUACACCACGAUUUUGAAUCAGAACAGAGAUUUUAAGAAAUGGCAGAUCUAUUCACUCUAUCAAUAACCGAGCCAGAACUCAAUUGGCUGAUAUACUGACCAAGCCAUUAGGAGCUACCAGAUUUGAAACUUUGAGAAAGAAAAUUGGUGUUUGUUGCAUACAGUCCAAGGAGGAGUGUUAAGCUUUGGCCUACAUUGCAACAGGAGACCAGUAGCUGCUCAGCACAACACUAGCAGCAACACUGCUUGAAGUGCAGAAAUGGAGCUAAACCGAAUGCAGCAUUAUGUUUUGAUCAUUUUGUUCCUAUGUAACUUUGUCUAAUUCAUUUGUAAUUUGUUCACAAAGUUAGUAAGAUUAGUUCAUGAUUUGAAUUGAUGUAAUAGCUACCUUUUAUGUGUAAUUCAAGCAAAUGUUAGUCUUGUAUUAGUAGGAGCAGUUAAGUCAUUAGGUAACUGCCCAUUACCUUGUAACUCAUAUUAUUCAAAUUUUGAAUGAAAAAUUAAGUGGUGAAUUUUCAGUUAUCAUUUUUGCAAGGUUUUCAUUCUGUUUUUGCUUCGAUUCUCCUGUUUUUGUUUUGCUACUUUGCCUUUUGUUUGCUGCCAAUGUUUCAACACACUCCUAGUAGUUAUUUAUUAUUCAACAAGAUUGCUCUAGCUGAAGUUUGGAGUUUGGAGCAUACCUGUGUAAGGCCACAAGGUUCAAAAAUAGAUGGGAUGAUGAACAUGUCAGAUGCUGCGUAAAUGGCAUGAGAAAGAGACUCGUCAUAUUUUAGUAUUAGCCGAAUGUGUUCGUGGUUUUGGAAUUGGUUUGCUAUACCCUCAAAUUCCCUCUGAAAACAAAUAAAAGAACAAGAAAAUGUAAAGGAAAAUCUCAGUGUACUAAGUAUGGAACAGGAAAAGGAUCAACUUAAAAUAAAACAAAUAACUCCGCAUGGCCCGAUAUGCCUGAAUGGAGUUUUUAUUGUUUUUAUAGCUUUCAUUCAUGCAAGCAGAAAGAAAUCCGUUGUUCACAUAGAGAAAACAGCAGUAGAGAUUCACCUGAAUGUGGAGAACUGGACUUGAACCAAGAAGUACAAACUGACCGCCCAUCUCCAAUGUUCGAUAUAUGGCAUGUUUAAUCAGAUGAACACCUUUCUGUGGCACCAAUCUUGUUAUGCAGCCUACCUAUUCAAUAGUAAAAGACUUCGAGUAAGAAUCUAGGCAGUAUUCAGCUAAGAAAUAAUAAGAACCUCCUAUAAUGCUGUGUUAUUGGAACCUAAAGGUGACCUUAAACUUACAUUGUAACUCAAAAGCUUUCAUAGAGAAUAUAUAAUACAUCUUAGCAAUGUUGAUAUAACAAAUAAAGACUUCAGAAAUAAAAUUACCAAUGGCCGUUGAUCAUCAGCAGAUGAAAGCCCUAGAUUCCUUCUCAUUGCAGCUUUAUUUUCUGCUUUCCCUUGCAUAUCAUUAGCACUAUACUGCACUUUGAGAAAAUUAUCGGUGGCAGGAUUCCAUGCAUCAGUAUCGAUCCCAUUUAAGAUUCCCAUGAACUUUCUUGAGUGAGAAUUCAGUGUUGAAUGGAGGCCUUUUCCUCCCUGUAAAAGUUAGGGACAUGAUUUUGUAGUUCAACCUUAAAAUUAUAAAAGGAAGACCAUGUUCUUGAAAGAAAAACUACAAAAUAUUCUUACCUCAGCAGUUCGGACUUCUUGUGCAUAAGUGGGUGAUACUGUCGUCACUAUGUUAGAGAACACAAUUGCACCCUGAAAAGAAGGAAACUUAGAAAAAAGAACAGAAAGAAACUCUAUUUGUUAUAGGCUUAUAGCCAAACCAGUGAUUACAGCACCUUAACAGGAUUGACACUGUCAUGUGCUGUGUUAUCCUGCAUCCUAUCAGGUCUAUUUAACUCCUGGGCAUCCAGACCACAUGAUGCCAAUUCUGAAGCAGAUGCAGUCCCUUGGUACUCAAAGUUAUGGCAUGUAAAACAUAUUCGAGCUGAAUUUAAACCUUUUGGAGCAUACAAGUCCCAAUAAAGUGGUGCCUGAAAAUGUAGUCAGAAACACACCAGUCAACAGAACAUUAAAUUGAAUACCGAAAGAAACAUGAGGCCAAAAUGUCUUACAACAAAAGCUGUCUGCCAAUCAUGGCAGUGAAUUAUAUCUGGUUUCUUGCCAGCUUGAAGAAGAAACUCGAGUGCCGCGCGACUGAAAAAUGAAAAACGCUUGAAAUCAUCAUGCUCUCCAUAAUAUUGACCUCUCCAGAAGAACUUGUUGGGAUGAUGAGGCUCAAUAAAAUAAACAGGAAGGCCUGUGAAUUUAAUAGCACAUUCAGAAAGCAAAGCUAAUAGAUAACAUGCAACUAGAAAGGAAAGAAGAGAUUCUCACCUUCAACAGUACCAACCCAAAUUUUAUUUUGAAAUAGUUUGCCAUCAAAAUAUGACUCUACAGUCACAUCUAAGGCCUGUCAAAAAAAUAAAAUAAAAUCAUCACAAGCAUAUAUUGGCCUAUGAUCUUAGUGCAUCUCAAAUAUGCUAACAUACCCUUAAGUCAUAAAUGCCGUCAUAUUGCAUACAAUCAUAUUUUGGAAGAAUAAUCUCUACAAGGUGUCCUUUCUUCUGCAGUGUUUUACCAAGACCAGUCACAACAUCUCCCAAACCACCAACCUGAUUAAAAAUUAUUGAAUUAAGAGAACAGAGCAACAGAAAGAAAUCCUCCAAACUAGUAUGUAAGAAUAUGCAAGUGGAAAAAUAUUGUACAAGCUAGCUAGAAGCAAAAGUCAGAAGACAAUUAUUGAACAUUCAUUUCUCAGUAUUAGGAAUUUGGAGAUCAAUUUUAUAAACAGAUAAAAUAACAAUUCUAGCAAAGAAAUUGACAUGUAGAGAUAUAUUUAGUAAUUAUUAAAAGACCCAAAGGGUAGUAGGCUAGUUGCUAACAAAUGGAGAAAAGAAAAUGCAGAAACAAAAUCAUGUCACCAUUGAGACAUUCCUGGUCACAUAAAACAGCCAGCUACCCAGCCAUCCAGGUUCAAACACAAGAUCACAAAUAUACACUUGCAAGCACCCAGGCAGUGAUUUCCAGCGGCACAAAGGUACACAGGCAUUGGUGAUUAUACACUAUCAACUUCUUUCAAGCAGAUUGAAACCAUGCAUAGUCUUUAUGCAUAAUUCCAGUUAAGACUUCCCAAGGAGCUUCGUUCCUUGGAAUUUAAGAGCAAAAAGUGAAAGCUACACUAGGGGUGUUUGAAAUAGAUGAGGAUGAAUUUCCCAGCAAAAUAUGGAAAAUAAAAUGAAAACUUUAAGCUUGUUUGAUCAAGGUAAGCAAUAGGCAAAGGAGAUCCAAGAAAACUGCUAAAAGGUCUGUCCAUUGGUAAGUAAAGUUGUAAAGUUGUACUUCAUAUAAAAAGCAAGUGGAUUAACAAGUAAAAUGAAGAUGUCUAAUUCAAUGAAAUUUUAAAAGGAAGAAUUUGUUUUCGACCUUUAACAAAAGAAUCCAAGCCAUAAAGUACAGCUUUAGAUUAACCUAGACAUCGCUGUACUGCUUAGUAAUUGAACUCCAGAAGGAAAGAACAGUAGACUCUGUACAUCUGUCAGCAUUAGCUAAUAAACACGAAAUAUUUAGUGAAAACAAUGCAGUGUCUUCCAUUAUGAUUUACUGAGAAACAACUCAAAGUGUAACUGGGAAUGCAUAAACAAUCAUAACUGUUGUAGUAUAAUCAUAGGAGAAUCCAUUGGUGAACAUGGAAAACCACAGAGGAUGUGGAAAAGAACAGUUGCAAGCAAGUAUAUUAAGGCCACAAGAUUAAAGAAAAAGUAAAACGCAAUAUGUUAAGAUGCUCCUCUAUCUUACAGCUUUUUAUUAUAAAAAAUGCAAACUAUGCAAGGCAUUGGAACCAGGAAAAUAUCAGCAACACCUAGAAAGAAAUUAACAAUCUAAUAAAUACAUUGUUCAUUUUGACACAGUUAAUCAAAUAAGAGUCAGCAAAUCUAUGAGAAUACAACAUUAGAUAUGGACAUGGGUUAAGGGUUUGAAGGUGAAAAAAGACUAGAAAGGAUAAGACCUCUUACAAUGUAUGUUCAUUAAGAUUAGCCAAGAAAGCAACAAAUAUGAGGGGCUAAGUCUUACCUUAGCAACUGGUGCCAUCUCAGCGGCAAUAUGAACGAUGUACAACCCUGGACUAAAGACAAAAAGAUGGACAAGUUAAAAAAAAGCAGUAAUGCAUUAAAAUUGAUUAGUUAAAGGUAAGCACCUAGCUUGUGAGGAUGCAAGCCGGAGAAAUGUAGAUAUGACUUCACGCUCAUUCUUUUCUUUGCAUGCAAUAUGUGCAUCACGAAUGCAUCGAUCCUUCUUCCACACCAGUUCUCUCAAAAGCUUUGCAUCACUGUUUGAUAUUUUCUUCUCAAGCACCCAACCAUCAAUAGUAAGCAAUAAGCGGCUCCAAAAUUCUCGAGGCAUAUCAUCAACUAGUGCAUCUGAUGUCCUUUUCUUGCUUUCUUCUUUCAAACUAUUAAGAGUAUCCUGAAAUGCCUCCAGAGAUUCUUGAUAUAAUUGGACAAAAGAAUAUAUCUCUUGAUCAGACUUUUGAAGACGCUCCUCUAGUAGUUUUAUCUUUUUCUGUAUGAGUUCAUUUGAUUGUUGCAUUUUGUCAGAUGAUACCUUAAGGACAUUAACCUCUUCAAGAGAUUUUUCCAGUUUAUCAACCUUCUUUCGAAGAUCCUGGUUUUGCUGUAACACUAAAGUGGCUUGAUCAGCCUGUUUAGUUGCCGUAUCGAACAACUGUUGCAAAUUUUCUACCUUUUCCCAUAGCUCCUGGUAUUCAACCUUUAGAGUAGAAAUUUUUGGAGAGUCUUCCUGAGAAACCAAUAGUUUAGACUCCAACUCCUUCACAGAGGACCCUAGAAAAGAGCAUUCAUUUUCCAAUGUUGCCAUGCGUUCAUCAGUGUUCUUGACAUUGCUAAUCAUAGACUUAAGUGCUUGGAUAUCAUUUUUUAGGGCUAGAUUCUCUGUCCUUAAUGAAUCAACCUCCUUGUUAGGAGAAUGAUCAUCAUGUGUUGAAAGCAAUUCCUCAUUCGAAAAUUUCUUUUGAUUCUCAUAUAGUUCAAGCUCACCCCUGUCAGUUAACUCAUUUCGCAACAUCUCUAAUUGACUUUCUAGGAACUCGACAUGUAUCUUUCCUUGAGAAGCAACUUUAAUCCGUGCAUCAGCCUCUGCCAAUCUCAUUUCCAAAAUGUUAAUUUCUCCUUGCAAAGUCUCCUUCUCAUCAAGAACUUUAUGAAUAUCUUCUAGCGCAUGAACCCGUGCUUGAUUGAGAACAAGGAUAUCUACAUAUUUAGAAACAAAUGAAUGUGAUGAUAUGUAUAUAUCUCGAGUUGCAUACACAAAUAAGAUCUACAUAGAUAUAAAUUCAACAGUUUCUUAACAGCAAGUUAUCUUACUUCUCUCUGCAUUUUUUAUCAUGCCUACCAGGUCCUCUAGUUGCAUACUUGAGAGCUGCUCUCCAUUUAUGGCCUGCAAAAAAGAAAAUAGCUAUAAUAUUUUAAGUUUAAACCUUUAAUUUAUAUAGUUCUUCCUAAGAAAACAUAACAUAAUAAGUAUAUGACUAUGUAUCUCUUAUAGUUCCAUAACUAACUGUUUCUCCCGAGACCUAAUAAGUUCGUAACUCUAACCUAAAAAGAAAUCAUUUUUAUCAAAACUCUGCAGUAUAUUGUACCAGAUAAAGCAUCAAUAAAAAAAUCAGAUCACUGCUGAAUGGAAAUCUUAAUUAUUAGGGAGAACUCAUAAUUACUAUAAUUGCUGGACACAACAAUUAAGCAAUGGUAAAGGAGUUCAAUUAUUCUUCCACUUCACCAUCAUUCUGUAAAAGUUAAAAAAGAUAAACAAAUCAAACUAAAAUAUCCAAACAGACAAUAAAAAUGUAGCACCAAGCAACACAACCUUAGUCUAGAUUCACUACAGACUUAUUCUGUAAAUGAAAGUACCAAAGCUUUUGUUACAGAAGGCAGCACGAGGCCGUUUAUAAUCUGUUCACUGGUACGCUCCACGUCUCCGGCAGAGACAGAUAGAGUGCCCGAAUUCUGUUCGGCAAUAUUCUCUACAUCUAUCACAGUGUUAACAUCAUCUUUUCCACUCGUUUCGUGAUUUGCAAAAGGCUCCACAUCUACACCAUUUGGAAAAGAAUUUUCAGGUUCAGAUUCCUCAUCCCUAAUCGGCAGCAACUCUGCACUCGUUGGAAUCCGCUCAGGAGGUUUACUCAUUCGUUGCCUUUUAUGAUUUGAACUACAUAAAUAUCAAUAAGAACAUAAAAAAAAAAGUGGAUUAUAAGUUGUUGAUUAAUAUAUUCUAUGAUUUGGAUUGAUCAUAAUCAGUCAAACUCAUUGACUACCCUAAUCAUUAGGUAUAAUUCGCAUUCAAACAUAGAACCAUAUGUCAUUAGUUACUAAUUCCUGCCAUUAAUCUGCACUAAGAAAUCAAAAUUCUGGCAAAUAAUGUCUAGCAUUUACUAUAUCUAGGCCAAACGAAGUUCUAUUCAGUAAAAAAUUUCUCAAACUCGAUCAAGGAUAAAAACAAAAUCGAUCUUUCAAACAAUACCUGAGAUUACGUUGCCGCAUUUUACAAUAAGCUGGGAGGAAUUGACGCGAAGGCAAAAACAGCACCCUCAUAUAUACAUUCUUAUGCUUAUCAACAGUGUUUUUAUAACUACUGUUACUCAAACAACUAAAGCCAUGACUGAAAAAGCAAGCCGAUAACUUUGCAGACAUUUCUUUAUUAUGAUGAUUCUUUUUUCUUUCAAAUGACUGAGAAAAGCUUGUUUUCCCUUUUUCUAUACCAACGAAUUUAAAAGAUAAAUGGGAGGGUAAGAAUAACCGCUUUCUUUGGCAUAACGUAGCUUCCUGCCUGAGAGGGAAAGCUUAGUAUAAAAAAAAUGAAGAUACUAAUUAAUAAAUAUCUUAAAAUGCUGAUAAUAUCUCAGUGGAGGGAAUGAAACUCCUUUUGAUUGAUGACUCCUUUGUUUUAUUGUUAAGGUAUGACUAUUUUCGGUUACAACCUUAUCUAAAUCCAACAUAAUAUAUUUAAAUAUUUUCCUUUGUUCAGUAGAGGAUUUUGAAAGUAUAUUUUAGAUUAUCUUUGGUGUAAUAUUAGAAUUAAUUUUUUAGAAUUUUAAAAAAUUUAAAAUAUCAUAUUUUUUAAAUAAAAAUAUAAUUGAUAUAAGUAUAUUUUUAUUAUAUAAUUAAAUUUGUGAUGAUAAUUUAAGAUAAUUUUAAAUUGAUUUAAUCCGUUUUAAAAAUACAAUAACACCAAUAAAAUAUUAGAUAUUAAUAUUUAAUGUCCAAUAUACUAAAAAAGCUUUUAAACUAUUAUAUUUUGUUUAAAUAAAUCCUAGUUAAAUAAACUCUUAAGUCAUGUUUACUCAUUAAAAAUCCUUAAUUUUAAUAUUAAGGGUAUGUUUGAUUGCCAGUAAAAUAUUUUCCGUAAAAUAAUUUCUGGAAAAUGUUUUACUUUUCUGUAAAAUGAUUUACUGGAAAAUAUUUUCUGGUGUUUGAUUGAAUCUGUGUAAAAUAUUUUCGGCUGUUUGGCAGAUUUCCUGGAAAUAUUUUUCGAAAAAAUUGUUUUUACAUAUAUUGAUAUAUAUUAAUAAAUUUUUAUAUUUUAAAUUAUUUUUACAUAUAUUGCAAUGAUUUAUUUAUAAUAAUACUCAAUUAUUAAGCCACAAUAUUAAUCGUUAUAAAUUGAAAAAAAUUAAUAUCAAAUAAAUUAUUUGUAAUUGUGUUAAAAAAAGUAUUGAAUAAUUAAAAAAAUAAGUUACUGGAAAAUCGAUAAAUAGAAGCAAUUUUCUACCGGAAAUGAAGGAAGGAAUGAAGGAGGCGAUAGAGAGGAGAGCACGGAAAAUGUCUUACGGAAAUUGAAAGGGUAAGACAUUUUCCCUAAAAUAUAACCCAUUUUCCCUUGUUUUGGAGUUCAUUUUCCAAAUGGAAAAUGUUUUCCGCCAAUCAAAUGCUGGAAAAGUUGGAAAUGAUUUUCCGAAAAAUCAAUUCCUUCAAUCAAACAGACCCUAAAAAGUAAAAAUAUGUAAACAUGUUUUAAAAUUUUAAAUUAAUUUACAUUUGAUAAUAAUUUUUUUACCAAAUUAAUGUGUUUAUAGCUCGUAGUAGUGACUCAUCUAUAAUCUAUAUAAAAACAUAAAUUUCAAGAAAAUUUUGAAUUAACAAAAAUAUCCUUUAUUGUUAAUUAUAUUAUUAAUUUGAUAUUAAAAUAAUAAUUAAUCAUUAUGUGAUAAUAUUAAAAGUAAUAUUAAUUGAAUUUUAUAUAAUGAAUUCAUUAGUUAAAUUUUCAAUAUUUAAUUUUUUAACACUUAUUUUUUUAGCAUUUAAAUAAUGAUAAAUUAUUAUUUUAAUAUCAAAUUAAUAAUAUAAUUAACAAUAAAAAAUUUCAAAAGUUUCUCCAACACGCUUUUAUUUAAAUUAUAGAUUAUAAAUAGAGAAUAUGUUUUUGCUUAUGUAAAUUUAUUAUUUACUUCUUUAAUUUAAUUUAAUUUUUGUUGUUUAUUUAAUUUUUUAUAUAAUUCAUGUGAACUUGAUGACUUAGAAAAAAAAUUUACAUGUCAAAUUUUAUUAGCGUAUUUAGCAAUUCACUAAAGACGUUAACAUCAGAUAUCAUAAUAAAAUCCAUAUUGAUAGUUCAAGUACUACAAAAUGCAUGUACCACAUUUGAUAUUUUAUAAAAGUACAGGAACCAAAGGUGGAAUUAUCCCCUUUAAAAAUGUUUAGUUACCUAAAUGAAAAAAUUACCAUGGUUUAAUGGCUACUUUUCUAUUUAGGCCUUCAAACUAUCCCGCAAACUGUGGAUUUGGAGGAACCGCAAAAAAAAAAAUGUUGAAAUCUUAUUCUUUGUAAAAUCCGUUUACUUUUUUAUAUUUUUAUUUUUAUUUCCGCCAAAAUCAGAAAUUCUUCUUCUUAAUGCACUAAUAUUUUCAAUUUCCUCAAAAAAAUCUUCUUCUUAAUUCCAAAUUUAUUGAUCCCUGGAUUUCGAAUCACACAAUUUAAAUUUCCUCUCUUAAUCCUUGUUAAUUAUCUGUUUCAACAAUCAACAUUUAAAUCAAAGCCUCUACUCUGAAUUGUUUUCUUCUUAUAUAUCACUUAGAUCAAGAAAUGGAGAAAAACACUAGCUGUUUUUUCUCCAAUUCAUCUCCAAAUCUUGUAAUCACUUGUUUCGUCGCCUUCAUUACCAUCAUAUUGGUUCGAUUUCUUUACGUUAUUUACCGAACCGGCAAGCCGCUAAACAAAAGAACACCGCAGCAGACUCUCAGCACUCUCAUUGUUUUAGGUUCAGGUACGCUUCAAAUUUCGUUUAUCUGUUUCCUUAUUUGCCUUUAAACUUCACGAUGUUUAAUUAUGAUCUUUGGAUAUUGAUUUAUCGGUAUAGGAGGACACACAGCGGAGAUGAUUAAUCUCUUAUUAGUUUUACAAAAGGAUCGAUUUACGCCGAGGUUUUAUAUCGCCGCCGCUACUGAUAAUAUGAGUCUUCAGAAAGCUCGCAUGUUUGAGAAUUCUUUGGCUGAUUCGGUAAAAUUGGCUACUUCAAAUUUUCAUUAUGUUAUUAAUUGCUACUAGGAUUCUUUUUAGUACUUUCUUUCAUUGGAUUUCAAUUUGUUUAAUGUGGAUUUUUGUUCUUGAGUGUACGUUUUAUAUAUUUUUAUUUAAUGAAAAUCCUUUGAAUUAUUAUUUAAUGAUUUUGAUAUUCUUUUUAGCACUUUUCCCCUUUAUGUGUCAAUGUUGUUAAUUUUCGAUGUUAUUUUUAAGGUAAAUGUAGCUCCUUUUUAUUGGAAUGUUUGAUGGCCUCACAAUUGAAUGUGCAUCAUUCGUUCUAAAUGAUAUCCUAAUUGCAGACCCUCAAGUAUGAUCCACUGGACAGUCUAGACUAACAGUUUUUUUCAUUGCCCGAUUUCGUGUGUUGGUAGUUACUUUUUGCAAACAUUUCUAUUCGUUUGUAAAAUUUAAAGUUUUAAAUGAGUUUUGACAUUGAAUGGAGGAUGGUUCCAUAGCUGUGCUUAUCGUUAAGAAGUAGAACUAUGUUUCAUAAUCAUUUUGCUUUUUUGCUGGUCAAAUAAGAGGUUUACUUCUUAAACUUAUUUCAACAAUAGGGUGUCAAGGGAAUCUCUGCAGAGUUUAUGCAAAUCUAUAGAAGCAGGGAAGUUGGUCAAUCAUAUGUAACUUCUGUCUGGACAACUUUAGUUGCUACGGCUCAUGCAUUGUGGCUAAUGAUUAAAAUCAGACCUCAAGUGGUAUUUUUCUGUUUCUGUUAUGUCCAACCAUUUUUUCCCCUUCCAAUCUUGUUACUUUUACUAAAGAAAAAUUCCAGAAUCAAAUUUCUUGUUAUAAACUUGACUUUAAUUGCAGGUUCUUUGCAAUGGCCCUGGUACUUGUAUUCCUCUAUGUGUAAUUGCUUUCAUUUUCAAGGUUUGUCUGUUUUCCCUGGAAGCCAUAUUAUUUUGUAUUGCCUUUCUCUCUUUGAUAUUACUGAUGGAAUUUUUCCAAAAGUUAAAUGCAUAAACAUUUCUACGUCUAGGAAAAUUGGAGUUAGCCAUUUUUCUUGUAAAUUUUGCUUGCAGGUUGUUGGGAUUAGAUGGUCAUCCAUAUUUUAUGUUGAGAGCAUUGCAAGAGUAAAAAGGCUCUCUUUAAGUGGUCUGUUGCUUUACAAGUUACAGAUUGCAGAUCAGUUCUUUGUGCAAUGGCCACAACUGCAGAGAAAAUACCCUCGAGCUCAUUAUGUUGGUUGCCUGAUGUAGUGAAUUAAGUCUGCUGCUGAUGGGUACUCUUACUUUAACUUCUAAGGUUUUUUUUUUUUACUUAAAUAGUGUAUUCAGCAACAUGGUCUGAAGUAGACCAUGAUAUUUGGCCAAAAAGAAAAAGUGAUAGAAUGCAACACGAUUCUUUUGAAAAUUUGACUCUAUUUGCUACAGUUGCACAUUAACAAAAGCAUGUUAUUUAAUAAUUCUAGCGUAUCAUUUCACUGCCUGAAUAUUAAGUCCUUAUAUUUGUUGGCAAAUAACUUCUGAGGCAUAAGUUUCUAGUUCAACAUUUCAAAAACCUCUUCAUGUGUUUCUCCAUUUAGAAGCUUUUGAUCAAGCCAUUGCAAGCAGUGCAUAAUCCAAAUGCAUAUUUCCUUCGGAGACUUCAGUGUGGCUUGCUGGACCAGUUCCGAAAUAUCAGGACAUAGUUAGUAGAACUAGUGAUUUGAUUAUAAAAGGAGUAAACUUUUGUGAAGGGAAAAGUUGAUAGUGGAAGGUGCAAGAGUCCAAUAGAAUGCACCAAAGCUAUGCUGCUUGCUCUUUGACAGUGCAAGCAACUUUUGGGUGCCUAGGUGGUGAGAGGUAGUUACCCAUAUGCUUUUCCCACCUUUAUCGUAGUAUAGUCAUCUCAAGAGUGUGGAUGCUGACUGGUCAAAGAUCACCGAAAGUGCAUACAUGAUGAUGAGAUCCACUUAUAGUUUCUGGGUUAAUGGCUCACCAGUUUCUUGCUAUUCAGAUGCUGAGGUGAGCUUUCUUCCUUGAUUGCUUGUGAGAUGGAUUUGGAGGUGGUAGAAGAAGUUUUUAAUCGUGAAGAUUAAUUAAUAUUGAGGAAGUGCAAAUUCUUUUAGGUUCUAAUUUGGUUGCUUAAUAUUAUUUUGAAGAUAUGCAAAUUAAAACGUUUCGUUUUGAUUGAUGAUAAUGGAAAGAUAAAUUAUAUGAUUUUGCUUGACUGAUUCAAUAUUGAACUAGUUUUAACUUUUAAAUAUUUUAUUGUCAUAACAAGAAAAAAAAUACAGUCAUUGUUUGCAAUAUUUACUGCUUCAUGACAACAGAUAAACUCAUAAGCUUCAUGCAGUUAGUGAAUUGAUUUGACCAUUUAUUUUCUUUGGUACAUCUUUAUUGGCAGUAAUUAAACUCUAGCAUCAUUAUCUUUCACUCAUUGCUUUAAGAAGAGGAAGCUUUUUAAGCUUCAUUAUUGACGUUUAUGUUGGUGUGUUCACUCUUAGACUCUCGGUCAUCAAGAUAAUGCUGGUAGACAUGUGAAAGAUAACAGCUAGGAUCGGAAUAACAUCAAGAUAGCAGUGCUGUGCUUCCAAUGGUGAAACCCUGCCAUAGUAUGCACAUCCAUACUAAAACCAUGAUAUAUGAUGUCUUUCCUAGUUCAUGUUCUUCCAUUUCUCCCUUUAGACUUUUCCAUUCUCCGGUAACAAAAAGUCCCAGCAUGAUUGCACUUGAUGCGACUAGUGACUGAUAAAACGAUUCCCUUUUUAUGACCUUCUGAAAGCAGAAAUGCGUCAGAGAAAGGUACAACCCGUUUCCUGCUGAUGCAACAAUGGUGCAUAUGAACCCGAUCACGCUCUUCCCUCUUGAAACUCCAUUUGGAGUUGACGAGUCUUCAUGAGACACGAGAAGGAUUAGAGAAUUGAUUACGGAAGGGGUGAACUUUUGUGAAUUGAGAAAAUAAGAGAAGAAAACAUUGAAAGCUAACUGUGAUGCAUAGAUGAGUGAAUAUUUAGACACGGGAAGGUAUCACAACCCCAUCGAGUAAAGAAAGCAGUAUGUUGCUACAAGUAGGCCAAUGGAGAUAUAAAUCGACGCUAGAACCAGGGCGGAUGGUGGGGGAACUGUGCCAGAAUUGGUUGCAGUCGGAGUUUUUGAGAGACAAGAAGCAAUAGUAAGAAUGAGAAUAGGGAAAGCCUGCGAGUUGCAUAAGUGUUGCUAACCAUUGGCUCUUUCCACCUUUCUCAUAGUACAGUCUUCCCAACAACAUAGCGAUUGACUGGCCAGAAAGCACGAAGAGUACAUACAAACCUAUCCGUACCCAAUGUUUAUAGUUUUUGGGCGCUAUUGAUGAUGGGUUUGUUGAAACCAUAGUUUGUUCCUUCGAGUCUGUUCUUCAUUCUCCUGAACAGGUAAGAAAAUCGCACAAAGGAAUUCACUUAUGAUGCCUACAUCGGUGUUUUUGAGGUAGAAGUAUCGUGGAGGUUCCUAUGUUAGGAGGUGGAUUCUAUUUUGCUCCUAUUCAAAAAAAUGAGUAAAUAAAGUAUUGUAUAUUAGAUUAAAGAGUAAAUUGGUUCUGGUAAAAAAUUCAUUCAUUUUCUUUGUUAAAAAUUGGUCCCGGUCAACAUCAUAUCCAAUUUUUAAUAUAAGAAAUUAAUUAUUACUGAACUGUACUAAAUCGGUUCAGAUUUUGGUUUCUCUAUUGUUUUUGGGCUUUAAGCUUUUGGACUUUAUUAAAACAAAAUUGUCUUUAGAUUUGAACUUUUCAAUUUUAAUUAAAUAAAAUUAUCUUUGUUUUAUGUUUCUUAGACACUAUUUGACAAUUUAAUUUUUUUAUUAUACAAAAAGUCUCAAUCAAUAUAUUUAUCUCAAAAAUAAUUUGUAAAAUCUAUAAUUAUAAAUGUUUAUUAAAAAUCUAAUUAAACCUUGGUGUAAUCACUCUCAAUUUUUACUAAACAUGAUCAAAUGUUAAAUUAUUUGUAUUUUAUAACUUUUAAUGUGUAAUGACAGCAAAAAAAACAACAAUAAUGAUAGAAAAAAUAACAUAAUAAGUAAAAAAAUGACGAGGACUUGAAUUCUUGGAAGUUUUAACAGCAAUAAUAAAUAAGCAAUGAAUUAAUGAGAUAUUGACGCUUGAAUUUUUAAAUGGUUCUUUUUAAACUUUUCGAUGUCCAAUGGAAUAAAUCAAAAUUGAACCAAAUUGAUGUGGUUUAAUGACAUCAUUUAACCAAAAUCGAAUUAAACCGAAUUGUUGAUUCGACUCGAUUUCCCAGUUUGGUCGGUUUUGUUUGCUCAACUCUAUCAACAUGAGAUACAUGUGACAAGCCUCGUGGCAUUGUCUAGAUAUUCUAUCAACCUUAUCAGAUUUGAACUGCAUAAAUGAGUGAAUUUUUUUAUAGAAAAGACCAAAUUGCUCUUUGAUAUAACUAUGAGAAUUAAUUUAUCUACUUUUUGAGUAGAGGAAAAAAAAUAUAAUUUGACUCCUAAUACAAUGACCUCCAUUAUAAUUUUAUCGUGUUUUUGAUUAACUUUAUAAAAGGUUUAAUUUUUCUCCAAUCUUUAUAUUGAUUGAAUUUUUAAAAUUUAACUUUUUUUUUAAUUUUAAUUCAAGAAAUAUAUUUUCUUAUAUAAUUUAAAUUUUUAAUUAAUAACACUGUUAAAAUGAAGUUGUGAAUUGCAAUUGCUAACACAAAUUCAAAUGAAGUAAAUUUAACGAAUGAUGUACUUGGCCUACAUGCUACUCCCAACUUUUCUUUUAAAUGUUUAUGUACAAAACCUAUAUUUAAUAUAUGUUGAAACACAAAUACAGGAUAUGACUUUUCAACUAUCCUUCAAAUAUAUAAAAUUUACUUUUAAAAAAUUUAAAAUCUCCAUAUCUAAUGCUCAUACAAUGAGUAACAUAGUAGCUAUGUAUGUGUAUUUAACCAACCUGUGAUUGGCUGUGGCAGUGGCUUAGCUUCUCCCAUGUUAAAAGACGAAGAAAGUUCCUCCAAGCAAGAUCUAAAUUAUGUGGAAAGGAAAGGGCAAACAGACAAGAUUAUAUAUAAGGUUUUUUUUUCCCUUUUUCUUUUUUAACAUAAAAUCAACACAAUAGGACCCCCAAAGAAAGUUGAUUUAUGCAUUGUUUUAAUGAUAAGGAGAUGCUCGAAUGAUUUUAGAGGUUAGAACUUAUUUAAAAGUUUCAAAUUUGAAAAGGAAUUGAGUUUAGUCCGCAUCAAGGAACAUUAACUUAAAUACAUAUUGUAUUCUCAUAAUUAAUUAGAGGUUUUAGGUUUAGGAUAAAGAUGGUAAAAAUAAACUUGAAAUUGAAGAGUUUAGAGUUGAUUUGACUUGAUAUGGUCGAGUUUUUUGUUUUAAAAUUUCGACCAGGUCAAGUUAAUUUUAGCGUGAAAUCACUUCGCUCAACUUAAAAUAUUUACGAAAUUACUCUUCUAUAUAUUUAAUAUUAUUUAGGUUAAAAAAUUCUUAAAAUUUAUUACUAUUAGCAUCAUUUUAUAUCAGUUAUUCUCCUCCUCUCUUUUUAAUUUAUUUUCUCCAGUUUCUCUUUCAUUUUCAUUCAUUAUUUUUUCUUUUGUGAUGUAAUGUAUAUUUUUUACUGAGUCAAAUCCCUACUAAAAGAAUGAUAAAACAAAUCCAAUGGGAAGUUGUGCCAAUUUCUUCUUAAAUAUUUUAUUUUAGUUUAAGCUUGGGUGGAAUUAGAUUGGGUUUGGGUUAGACCUGUCCAUGGGUCGGGCCCGGAAAAAAUUUUGGCCCGAAUCUUAGGCUCGGGCCCAGCCUAAAAUAUGGGCUUAAAAUUUUGCCCAGGUCCGACUUGGGAAAAAUAAUAAGCCCGAGCCCGGCUCGAUUUUUAAUAAACACAAAAAAAAUAUUUUAAAAAUAAAAAAUAAAAAUAAAAAUAUUUUUAAAGUGUUUUAAAAUUAAAAAAUAAAAAUAAAAAAUAUAUAUUUAUUAUAUUCGGGCCGGGCCGGGCUCGGGUCAAAAAAGUUGAGCCUGAGCCCGGCCUAUUUUUUAUACGGGCCUCAUUUUUUUGCCAAAGCCCAUAUUUUGGGCCUAUAUUUUUGCCCGACCCCUCCCAUAUUUCGGGCGGGCCGUCGGACCGGGCGGACAGGUCUAGUUUGGGUAUACAAUUAAUUUUUAGGUUUGGAAUGAGUUAAAAUUUUUAAGAUCAAAAUCAGGUCGAAAUUGGGGCAUGACAAUAAAGUAUCAGAUUAGGGUCGAACAAGUAAAAAUUCAAACCGCCCCACUCUGUUGCCAUCACUAAUUAAGGGUAAAUUAAAAAAUAUAUUAGAAAUAAAAAUUCAAAUCCAAAACUUGCAAUAAAAUUUUGUUUUAGCGUUUAACUAAAUAAUCAAUUUUUUUUAUAUAAUGUUAAAAUCAAUCCAUAGUCUAUAAAUAUAAAGAUAAUACAUUUCAACGUACUUGAACUCACGUCCUUCUGUAUUGGCAAUAAUAUCUAUGCCAAUUGAACUAAAACUUAAUCGGCAUGUAAUAACCAAUUAUUAUAUAAAAAAUUUAUGUAAAAAAAUGGUUGUGGGUUAAUUUUGGUUUUAAAGUGUUAUAUUAGAGAUUUUAUAUAAAUAUAUAAAAAAUGAAAAUAGUUAAUAAUAUUAAUUAUUUAAUAUAAAAUUUUCUUUAAAACACCAAUUUUCAUAUCGUCAUGUUAAUAUUAAAUAUGUUUAUGGGCGGUUCGGUCCGGGUCAAUUCGAUUAGUACAUUUAAGAGAAUUAAGUAAAGUUAUCAGUAUCACACUUAUAUAGAUGUAAUAAUUUUGUUUUGGUAUUGACAGUAUCAGUAUUUUGAUAUCUCAUUUCAUUUAUAUAAAUGUCGCUUAAUUUUUAGUUUCUUAAUACCAUAUAUUAUAUAUAAAUGUGAGUAUACAUCAAUUACAUACAUGUAAAUAUAUUCAUGUGGAAAUAUAAAUUUUAAAUUUAUGAAAUAAAUUCAAUAAUUUAAUUUAAAUUAAUUUACUUUUAAAUGUAAUUAUAAAAAUAAAAAUAAUUUAGAUAAUACAUAUUAAAAUUUGAUUUAAAAUAUUUUGUACCAAUAAGUACGAGUAUGUAUAUAUCUAUAUAGACCAAUAUUAAUCAAAAUGGAGCGAAAUAUAUUGAAAUAAUUAAAAUGUAACAAAAUUUUUAUUAGAAUUUAACUAAAACUAAUUGGCAUUGAUUUAGAAAGUGGACCCCUUGGUUUAAAUGGUUAAAUUACUAUGUUAAUCCUUCUUAAAAAAAUAUAAUUUAAUUUAAGUGUUUUAAUGUAAACUUUAUGCUUUUACCCCAAGUUUUUUUAGUUUUAUUUUGGCCUCCCUAACACCAAAUUCUCUCUAUACAUAUUAGCCCAAAAUGAAAAAAUUUUCAUUAAAAUUUUUAAUUUUAAAAAAUUAUAAAUUAAUAUCAUGAUAAAAUUAUAUUUUUAACCUUUUAAAUUUUAUUUAUUUAUUUAUGAUCCUUCUAAAACAGUUUAAAAUGCUAAAAUGGCAUUACAUAUAACAUAGGGAUAGGGCGAUAAAGUGUGAUGUAGGUCAAAAGUCCUUCACUUCUAUUAUAACAUGAUGAUGUGAAGUAGCAAUGGUAAAUUAAAACUAGUAGCUGUAAAAGCAAAAUAGACAUGUUUAGGCUACAAUGUGUUUAAAUCAUUAAAGUUGGCAUCUAAUGAUUAUGGGGUGCGUGGAAAAAAGCCUGGAUACAAACUAUCAGCCGGUGCCAACAGACCAUCAAGUUUACCUGCUACCAGCAGGGUGGACUCAUUUUUGGUGGGUUGAUAUUCUACCUAAACCUGACCAUUGAAUUAGUAUAAAGUUUUAAGUUUGGAUCAGUUCAAUCUAAAAAAAACAUGUUUAAAAUUUUAUUUAAGUUUGACUCAGAUAAAAAAAUAUUAAACUUAAGCUCAGUUCAGCCUACUCAUAUUAAUUUUUUAUAUAAAAAUAAAUUUUAAAAAAUACAAUACAUAAAAUACACUAAAAAUAUUUCCCAACAAAAUUAAAAAUACAUUAAAAAAUAUUUAUACUUAAAUAACACUAAGAUAGUUACAACUUAGCAGGUAAAUGCCUCUAAAAUAAUAGCAAAAAUUAAUAAUAAAAUAAGAAUUAUACAAUAUUUAAAAAAUUACAACAAAAUAACAUCAAAAUGAUAGUAAAACAGCAAUAAGAAAAAUCUAGAUAAAUUUGAGCCAAGCUAAACUCAAGUCAAAAAAUCUUACUUGAAGCGUAACCUAUUUAAAAAUGUGUCAUAUUUUUUUGUCUAAAUUUAUUUAUUAGGCGUAUAUUUUUGUCAUAAACUUCUUACUUUUUGACAAACCUUCAAGACCGGGCUCAUUAUCAGGUAUAAUUCCACUUAACUGCUGCCGUCAUCAACCAUGCAUCGUAGCCAACUAGCCAUGGCGAACCCUUUAUUUGGUCUCAGAUGAUCCAAGUAAAUUAGCCCAUUUCUCAAUUCAACACUUUUUCACGGGCCUCCCUGUUCUGUUUUCAAAUUUCUUUCAUUUUUCAUAAAUAUUUUUAAUAUCUGUAUUUGUAUACAAUUUUUUAAAUAUUCAUACUUAAAAAAUUAUGUAUUAAGAAAUUAUCAUUUAGGGUCCAUUUGAAUAGAUGUUUAUUGCAUUUAAUUUUUUUAUUUCAUAUUACAAUAUCGUUACAAUAUUUAAUUUUACUAUCAUGAUUAUUUUUACACUAAUCACGUAGAACUAAGAUUAUAAGAAUAACAAAUUCUGACUUUUUUAACCCGCAUUCAUUUUAUAAACAUCUUAAAUUUUCAAGCUCAAUUAAUUUAGAUCCAUUAUAAAAAAAAUCAACAAAGUUAAUUUAUAAUAAAAACAAUAAUAUUAAUUAUGAUAAAUUUUAACUUGAUUAGGCAAAUAAUAAUAUAAAACUAAAAAGAAAAAGGAAAAUAUAAAAGCUACCAAAAAAAAAAAGAAGAAGCGUCGAUUCCACGAUACACAAAAAUCGUCAAAAACCAGGUGAAGCCGGCCCCACACAGCUUCUUCUUCCCAAUCACGCGUGCAUCCAACCGUCACUUUCCCUUCCGCAUUAUACGGAAAUGCCCUUAAUCCAACGGUUCAUAUCUCUCCUCCUUUCACUCCCCCUAACUUCACUUAUCCCUAUAACAAAUCCCAACUAUUUUUUUUUUAUAAACAAAUAAAAAAGAGGAAAAAUUAAUUGCUCACACACCCAAACUCUCUUAAUUACCUCUGCAACUUCAUUCAGCGCAAAUCUAGGGAUUUUUUUUUCUUAUAGCACCAUUUUCCCCUAUCCCGUCUUCUUUUUUGGCUGCUUCCACUCCAAUCUCUCGAUUUAUUUUGUAAGGAUUUUAAUCUUAUUCUUUUUGCCAGAUUUUUUUUCCUUAUUUUGAGCUAUCAUAAUAUUGUGGCUUAAGUAAUAUAGGUUUUUUUUUGGCUAGUAUGUAUGCUUCUCUCCGUGUUCUUUCUUCCCUUUCCUUUGCAAUUUAUUUUUUAGUUUUACUGAGAAAUUUACUAUUUUUUUUUAAAAAAAAUAAUGUUUUCUUUUGAUGGAAAGUGAGUUUCUUUUUUCUUUUUAAGUUCAGCUAUUUUUAAUGUUUAUUUUUCUUUUUGAUUUCUCUUAGAUUUGUAUCAGCUACUAAAUAGAACUUCAUUCAUUGUCUUUUUCCUUUAUGAUUCUUAGAUCCACUGGGCUUGAAUUAUUAUUGAGCCCUUUGUUUAGUUGAUUUAUUUUUAUUGAAGAUCCCUUGGUUUAACUGCUAUUUCAAUAUUUUUAAAUUAGUGCUAAUUCUUUUUUUCUUUUGGUUGCAGGCUAGAAUUUAUUAAUCACUUUGGGGGUUGAACUGAAGAUAAACAAAAUGCCGUGGUCUUUGGUUUAUCGUGUUCGAAUGGUUGUUUUCUUUCUUAUCAUACUGUAAUUUAUUUUGGGUAAGUUUUGUGAAUCUAGAACUUCUAUGAAUUUUAAUUCCCCUUGUUAUAAUUCGGUUGGGGUGACGAUUAAUUGCUUAUGUUAUAAUUUUGCUGAAUAAAAUGUAGUUUAAAUCCUAAUGUGCAUUGUGUUUGUAUGUCAUAUUUAAUAAGGAAUUAUUAUAUUGUUGUAGGUGAAUUUCAAUUGAAUUUGGAAUUGGAAGGGGAUUCAAUUCAUUCAAUUUAGCGUCGUUGGAUAUUGAUAAAAUUUUGGUUGGAGAGGUUUGAGAAUGUUCAUUGCAGCAACCACAAAGAGAUAUCGUGCAGUUAAGGAAGUCGGGAAGAUUAAAAUGAGCGUUGGUGUUAUUGCAUACUAUCAAUUAGUUCAAGUUUGUCAGGUAAAUUUGUUUUUCUUACCGCUGUUGCAGUGUGUCCUUGGAAAUGCAUAAAAAAAACUGUCUUAAAUAUAUCCAUGUGUGCCAUGUCAACUGUGGUUUUAUUACUAAUUUUGCGGUCACAUGAUUUUAUUAAGUUGAUAUGCCUCUUGGUUUUUAGUUUUUCAAUUGACUGAUUAGGAAAGUAUGUCUUCUUAAUUCACCCAAGAUAUAAUUAAUGCACUAUAACAAUGUGCACGGACCAAGCACAUUUGUGAACAGUUAUGCAUACAUAUACAGGUAUCAUAGUGAAGAAAAAUAAGUUAUUUUAUAAAUCUGAGCAAUGCUUUUUCAUUGACCUUUUCAUGUAAAUCUGAGCAAUUGUGAGCACAGUGAAUCUGGACACGGAGAAAACUUGUAAACUUUUAACCAUUUUAACGAGCUUCCUAUGGAUCUGUUCAUUUAAUCAAGUAAUAUCAGAUAGAUUUGCGGACAAAAGAAUAUUUUUGUUGUUCUCUGGACAUAAUCUCUGUGUGCAUUUUGUUAUAGUUCUAAUGAUUUUUUAUUUUGCUAUCACAGGCCGAGUAUUUCCGUCAGUUGCUAAAACCAGUUACGUAGUCUAGUAGUUAGCAACUCUUGGAAAUUGGGAUCUGGGGGAGUCUUCCAUUUGGUUGUUUUAUACGUAGGCUUUCAAAGAAUGAAAUAUCUGAUAUUGUUGAUGGGAAAUUGGGGAUAGGCAGCUCUUGUCUUGUUUUGAUGGCGAUCCACUAGUUUUAGUCUGUAGUCUUUCCGUAAUUAUAGCUAUAAACCUCCUUCCAACUUAAAAAUAAAUAAUUUUAAGUUCAAAACCAAGUUUAAACUUCUCGUUAAGUAGAAAAUAAGAUGCAGAGUGACCAACAAUUUUACCCCCAAAAAGCAGUGCCCACACUUGCAGAUCAAGUGGCCAAUAAUUACAUGCAUAUCCCAGUUGCAUCUGCUUUUGGACCAGUUUUUCCUCCAUGUGCAAAACACUUGCCGCCCCUCCAUGGCAUUGAGUUUCAACCCUCUGAGGUUUGUCCCAAGAACUUUGUUAUUUUCAAUCAGACUGAUAAUAGGAACCAAGUCUUGUUCAACCCGGCUAUCACAAACAAGUUUCAUGGUAAUGAAUUAAAUGUUUUUGCAAAUUACAAUGAUGGCAAGUAUGAGAGGAAAGAUGUUUAUGAUGUGGGAGAAGAAACAUCCUCUUUUCUGAAAGAGGAUUCGGAUGAUAUUGAUGCACUGCUCAGCUCGGAAGAGGAAGAACAAGUUGAGUACGAUGAGGAAGUGGUUAGCACAGCCCGGACCUUUGGAAAUUAUGAAUUCGACACUGCUGAUUCUCGCUCUGCUCAUGGCUCGAAACCAAAAAAGAACAAGUCUUCCUCUUAUACUCUGAAGUCUUCUGGUAAUAGCAGUUGUUGUGACCCUGAAAUUAAGCGACUGAAAAUGAAGGAAAUGGUGAAGGUUUUAAGGGGAAUCGUUCCGGGUGCUGAUGAGAUGGAUACUGUUGCUGUUCUCGAUGGAGCUGUUAGGUACCUCAAGUCUCUCAAGGUUGAAGUACAGAAGCUCGGAGUUGGGAAUUUCAAAUAUGAAGAUUGAACCCAAAUCAUGGUAAUGAAGUUCUCACCUUUGUAUACCUCUCCAUAACUGGCCUCUCUCUAAUGGUUUGCAGUCUAGAAAUAAAGAAGACAGGUAUUAGAAUCAAUAUUUGUGUUGUUGUAUGCAUGAACUCUGGUUGUGUAAUAUGAGUACCACCAAGUACCAAGUUUCUAGCUGCCUUUAAUAUCAUUAUGGCACAAGUAGUUGCUUUGAAUGUUAUUGUACUAGUAGUUUCUACUUUCAACUCUGUCUUAUUUCUGUAUUUUACGUACUUUAUGUUUAUUCUCAGUUAUGAAUAAAUGUUACAAGAUGUUAUUGGGGGACAUGAGUGUUCAUUGUGAUGCAUGCAAUUGCAGACUACAUUUUUCUCUCUCCCCCACAAUCCUGGUGACCGGUAGUAGGUACGCAGUGGUUUUUAGUGGCGCAACGCCCGACCUUUUUACCUGUUCUCUAGUUCCUGGCAUGUAUUGAGUUAGACUUAUAAAUGAACAUAUAUUUAUGUUUGUUUAUUUUUAAGUUAGCUUGUGUUCGGUUUAUGCUUGUUAAGGAUUUCAAAAUUGUUUUUGUAGUUGUUUAUUUAAAAGUACACAUGUUCGUGAGUUUAUUUGUGCACGUUAAACGGACAUAUUUACAAAACAUUAAACGUAUAUAUUUGUAAACAUGAACAUAUAAUUGAACAUGUUCAUGAAUAAUAAUAAAUAAUAAUUAAACAUCUAUAUUUAAAUUUUUACCAAAAUUUAUAUAUAUUUAGAUGUAAAAAUAAUUAAGUAUAAAUUUUAAUAAUUAUAUUAUGUAUAAGUAAAAUAAGCACAUAAGUAAUAAUAUUAUUAAUUAUAUAAUAAUCAAACAAUAAAUAAUUUUUAAACAAACUUAUUAAUGAAUAUGAUUGAAUUGAAUAAAAAUUUGAAUUAUUUAUUUAACUCUUUAUUCCAUAUUAUAAAUCAAAAAAUGUUAGAUGUAGUGAGAGAUGCAUUGCAUUUUUAAAGGAUUUUAAAGGGAAAACAUAAAUUCAAACUUAUUAUUGAAAAAGACAGCCGAAUACCGAACAUGGAUUGUAAAACGUAAAUUGUUAAGUGUAUGAGCAUGUUGAAAAACGUAAUUUGUCAUGAAUAUGAGCAUGUAUGGUGUAGUUGGAUUUCCUUUGGCAUCACUCAUCAUUUGUAACUAAUUAGUUUUCAACAUUCAAUUGGUUUCGUCAGCUUUAUAUUAUGUUAUAUGGGAAGUGGUGGAAACUAGUGGAAUAAAUCAAGUGGAAACUGGAGGGAACUAACUCUUUCCUCUGACUUGAGUAUGACCAAAAGUAAUGGCUACUAAAUAAAAAAGGAGGCCCACGAAAGGUGCUAAGCAUGUCCUUCAUUAAAUUGGCCACCCACAAGACCCAUGCCGCAGAUCAGCCAAUAGGGUUCCAACGAUGCAAGGGUGGACACAGUUGACUCUCGGUGAUUGUGAGGCUACUUUUAGUGAAACAGGCUGGCUUAUUUUGCAGCAAGUGACGCCUAGAAUCAACACCAUAAUCAUUAUAUAUGCCAACAUAAAUAUAAAAAAGUGUACAUAUAUGGGGUUGAGGCAAGACAUGAGAGGAGGAUGAAUAAAAAGGAAGCUGCUAAUGGUACCCUACAGAGUGUGGUGAAUGCUAAAGUGGCAAAUCAAAUUGUCUUUACAAUUGGACCAACUAUGGGAAGAAAAUUAUCUAGCAUUCCGUUGCUAUUUACAUUCUCUAAAAUGUCAAAACAUGGCAAUGGCAACCUUUCGGAUGGUAUUCCGACUGCCUUGUAAAGUCAGCAACUGUACCCUUUUGAUCACCCUGCUCAUUUUGGCAAUCUGAACUCUUUAUUUGAUCCGGUUGUUCUGAUUCCGAGCUCACAUUGCCCGCUUAAGAAGAUAACCGCAUGUAUUUUUGUAUGAAAAGAUCAAUUAUAUAGGACUACCUCUUGAUACCUGCACUCACGGAGAAGUUCAAGUCACCUAGCAGUGGGGCGCAGUAUAAAAGAUGUUGCAGUUCAUGCAAUAAUAUCAACCACGUGCAAGUCACUAUGGAAACACAUCAUAGAGGCGAAAGAGCAUCGCUCCAUGUAUCGUUUUAAACUAACUUAUGUAAAAUAUACCUAACUGAUGUAAGAUUUGGUGACUAUUGAAUAUGUACCAUUGUUUCUCGAAACUGAACGAACUUGACAUCAUCCAAUCUUUACAUUUCUAAAUGGGGUAAAGCAACAUUUAGUCCUGAACUUGGUAACUUUUCCCAUCUUAGUCCUUGAACCUUUUUUGGUCUACGUUGGUCUUGGAACCUAGCAACUUCUAUAAAAAAUUAUAAUUUUUUAUAAAAAAUUUAGGUGAUGACGUGACGUAAUCUCAGAAUACGUCAUACAGGGACCAAAAUCGGAAAAAGUUGCAAGCUCCAAGAAUAACGUGGACAAAAAAAAAGUUCAGAGACCAAGUUGGAAAAGUUGCUAAGUUCAUGGACUAAAUGUUGCUUUAUCCCUUUCAAAAUAUACAUCAGCACAAGCUAUUGGUUUUAAUUCUCAGCUACCAUUGACUCGAUUAGCAUUUGGGUAGUAUUUUGUACAAACCAGUCCCUGAUCAUAUCAUAUAUCAGAACCACUCCAUGAGGUAUAUCUGAUAUAAAGAUAAUAUUAUGCUAAGAAAUUCCUGGUACUGGUAGGUAGCAAUAGCAAGACCACAUCUCUCAUCUAAAUACAAGUGAAAGUUGAACAAUCAGGCUGACAUCAAGAACAAAAAUAUGCAUGAAUAAGCAAAUUCUGCGUAAUCCUAAUGUAUAAACAAAUAAGACAUGAACCUGAUUCUGUGAGCUUGCAGAGGUAGUCCAGUUCUGAGGACGGCGGAUUUGAGCUGAACUAUCAGUAAUGAAAGUUACUGUCGUUGAUUCUUCUUGCGUGUUAGCUAGUGUCAUGGGCGGUAAUUCUCUCAUGACCCAUAAUACAAAAGCUGAGGGCACCGAUGAACCUAUAAAAGCAAAAUGAAGAUCACGUUAUAAACUCAACAUCGUUACAUACUUUUUUCCAUAAGGCAGCCAAGAGCAUGAAAAGAUAGGACAGUAGAGCUUUUAUGUUUCACUGUUUCAAAUUCUGUUGUCAAGAAAGCAUAAUCAUGGCUAUUGCUAGAUGAGGCGGAAUAUUCAGAAACAUGAAAAUGCACAAAAAAUAUUUCUAAUAACGAUUUGAUGCUAGAUAUGGAUCAAAUAGUAUAAAAUGUUUAGGAUAUUCCAUGCUCCAAAAGCUGAUUUCCAUAAACGACAAUUGGAAGCUGUUAGUUUAAUUAGGAGCAACCUUUGAAACUUAAGGGAGAGUUGAAGGAAAUACCUAUAAAAUAAUAUAAAAUAAGUAAAAGAGAAGUAUAAACACCAUCUAUGUGCAGUUCAUGCCAGUGAUACAGCACCUGCAAUCACAAAAACACGAUUUAAGUUCAAUAAGCUAGAAAAUAAAACAUGGUAAAAACAAACAGUAGAGAGAUGUGUACCGGAAUAUCAGUAAAAAGAGCCACUAAAGCACUUGAUGUAAAACUUAGAACAGAUACAAUGGCCAAACCUGCAACCUACGUAAACCACAUGAAAUAUUUAAGGCAAAGAAAUAAGAUAACUAUAAAGCCACCGGAUAUAUGCAUCAAAGGUAAGCAUAAACGCCAAGGAAUGGUAAAUAUUCUAACUUGAGAGCAAAAUGAGAAGAACAAAGAAAAUGGCACGAAAAGUUGAAAACAUGAAGGUUAGUAUGACAAUACCUUCCAGAUCUCAGAUGAAGCUCUUUCAGAUCUAACAUUCCUCAUUUUCCGACAUAAUAGGAGCCCUGAGCAUAAGAAAGAAUAAAAACGUGACUCUAUUUAAGAGAGAAGAAAAUAUGUAAGAUAAAAGGACUCAUCUAUUCUGGUGACAUUUAAGAAGUACAAACUAGUCAAUUGAUUACAAAGACUAACCAAUAAAGUUUUCAGACAUUUAGGCCAGCCAUAAGUCAUGUUACCCAUCAAACUAGAAUGCUGUUUUUGAUACAAUGCCUACUUCUACCCAUAAUACCUUAAGCAUACUUGACCCCACAUCCUCCUAAUUGCUACAAUGGCAAUGGUGCCAACUGCACUAGAGCAUAAUCAGCAAACUAGAAUGCAGUUAGAUACUAUGGAUGGGGGAGCUGACACAUAUGACUUCUAGUAUUUGGUUCAAAUACGAGGAAUAAUAAAGUCUGGUUAGCCUGAUGUUAGGCAUUUUUGCAAUCACAAAGUUAUCCCGAUAGGGGAAAAAAUUUCAUAUAAUAUAAAAAGAAAAUUAGAAAAUUAUGAAGAAAAAGAAAAGUAUAUAUAAAUGCUAAUUGCUUACCAUAACAUGCUAAUGCUGCACCUAGCAAUAGUAUUGCUGUAGCAAAAAGAUCUACAUAAACCUGCAGGAGAUAGAUAGUACUUCAUGGCUUCGCUAGUAAUAAAAGAAAUAAAGAUCAGAAAGAAAUUCCAUAAGUACAAGUUUUCAUUGUCUCUUUUUAUUUUCUAAGCAAUAAACUAAAAGGAAAAAGAAUUGCAAAUACUUUCUCCACCAAAACCUUCUCUCUGACAAUCAGACUUAUUGAUGGUACUCUAAGAAAACAAAAAUAGUUCAAAAGAAAAUAGCUUCUUAGACGUUCAUACCCGGGACACGGUUGAUGAAUCAAUAGGAUUUUCUUCCAUUCCAAUCCAGAUUAGCACGGCAAAUGUCAUCAUAAGAAGAAAUACAAGAACAGUAACCUGGUCAUAGAAAAACAGAAUAAAUGAGACCAAAAACAUCAGGUAACAGCGAGAAUAAUAGAAACAUUCAAAAUAAUUUCGCAUGAAGACUGUAACAAGAAACAAAAGAAGAAAAUAUAUCACUAUACCAGAACCACUAUCUUUUGACGGCUUCCAACAUGAAUUAAACGGAAAGGAUAACAUGAUCUGCGACUAUCUGCAGGCGAAGACCUUGGUCUAUUUAAAGAAUUUUGUAUUAAAGCUUCUAGAAAGCCCUGUUCAUCAUCCUCUUCCUCUUCAUCAUCUGCCUGGUGGCAGAGGUCGACCCUAUAAAAAAUCCGCCAGAGAGACAUGGGGUAUAGCUGAUGAAGAAACACUAAUUUUCACUCUGAAAGAAAAUAUGAUAGUAACUAAAACUAUCAAAGGAUAUUAUCCUGACUUAUGAAAACACUAAGCUUCAGUACCACUGCAAUGGAUGACCCAGGGAAAAGUAAAAAAGAAAAAGAAAAAGAAAAAGCUGUCCAUUAUAUUAAUUGGUCAAGACAUGAAGCCACUAAAAUCGAUCUCCCUUUUCUUUUUUUCCACUAACAAAAGAACAUAUCUAGAUUCUUGCAAAUAUCUCUGAUUUUAGCGAUCACAUUUUCCUUAUAUCUGAAAAAGUAAUCUAAGAUACAUGACCAUAUUUCAUCCAAAGAAAUGCAAAUAAGUUAGAUAAAGAGAAGACAUACCAGAAUGACAAAAGUAGAAGAAAUGUUGCAAAUAAUAGAAUUCUGGGGAAGGCUGCAACAAUAUUUGCAUCGGUUAGUGCUUAAACUAAUCAGCUCCAGUGAAAGAAAUAAGUGUGGGAUCUUAUUACAAGCAUCUACACAUACCCAUGGCUACAAAACCACAAGAGUAAGACCAGCAUAGCCACCCUCGGCAUGCAGCAACAAGACUCAAGACAAAAUAAAUGAAGUAACCUGCGUGUAGGUGAUCAUUUGGCAGUUCAGUUUGGAUGAUUUAAAUCAUGCUAUGCAUGCAAGGUCAAAAAGAUAACAUGAGUGUAAAAUAUAAAUUCUUACCAGUAUUAGUAGUUCCAAUCAGUAUAUGAAACACCUGUUAUAGACAUUCAUUUGGGUCAAGAACAAACCAGUACACGUAGAAAAAGAAAUCAACGAAAUAACUUUUAUGUAACACAAAUUAGAGAAGAAAAACAAGUAGGAAAGAAAAGGAGGAAAGGGGGAAAAAGCAUUAACACAUUAGUCAUAUAUAUAUAUCUUUUGCUUUACAUAUAUGCACAUGAAAGCAUGGACCUUAAUAAACAUCGUCUUGAGCUCAACCCCGAGUUUAUCUUCUGCUUCAACUGGACUAUAUGUAAGUUUGAUUAUUUCUUUUCUCCAUUCCAAAAAAUCCCCAAAUGGUACAGCACGUUUGCUGAUUGUCCCAUAAAAUGGCCAGAUAAUAGAUUAACAAUUUAACUUCAUUUUUUACUUAAUUAGGUUCCUAGUUUUCAAACUUGGUCACUAAACAGCUUACAGCAAAUUAUUAGUAAUUAUUUAAUGUUUUAUCACACAUUCCUUGGAGGAUAAAAAGAUACAAGAUUAAAAUGAAGUACAGGAGUCCAACCGUGGGUUUUCU
This 33868-nucleotide long non-coding RNA is filed under the name Gossypium barbadense (sea-island cotton). Its description in RNAcentral is "long non-coding RNA (GBAR_LNC019652)". Lineage: Eukaryota; Viridiplantae; Streptophyta; Magnoliopsida; Malvales; Malvaceae. The record is from RNAcentral.